Molecule: non-coding RNA, 21 nt
Filed under: Caenorhabditis elegans
Lineage: Eukaryota; Metazoa; Nematoda; Chromadorea; Rhabditida; Rhabditidae
Source: RNAcentral
UGUCUUAAUUAAAAAAGCCCC